RNAcentral lists this antisense RNA (187 nucleotides) under Vitreochlamys ordinata. RNAcentral describes it as "Antisense RNA which regulates isiA expression". It matches the Rfam family "Antisense RNA which regulates isiA expression". Lineage: Eukaryota; Viridiplantae; Chlorophyta; Chlorophyceae; Chlamydomonadales; Chlamydomonadaceae. The record is from Rfam by way of RNAcentral.
AAUAACCAAAGAUUACAGCAGCGUUUGUUGUUGGGUUUGUAAUAAUACGAACGUCACCACCACCUGGUGCCCAAGUAUCAUAAACACCACCAAAAUAAAGAGCUUUUAAAACAAGUAACCAAGCCCCUAAACCUAACAUAAUAAGGUGAUAACCUAAAAUAUUAGUCAUUUUGUUUUUAUCUUUCCA